This 253-nucleotide ribosomal RNA is filed under the name uncultured bacterium. RNAcentral's name for it is "partial 16S ribosomal RNA". It matches the Rfam family "Bacterial small subunit ribosomal RNA", at positions 524 to 776 of the family's 1533-position model. The record is from RNAcentral.
GACAGAGGGUGCUAGCGUUGUUCGGAAUUAUUGGGCGUAAAGGGCGCGUAGGCGGUCACAUAAGUCGGAUGUGAAAGCCCAGGGCUUAACCCUGGAAGUGCAUCCGAUACUGUAUGACUUGAAUCCUGGAGAGGGUGGUGGAAUUCCCAGUGUAGAGGUGAAAUUCGUAGAUAUUGGGAGGAACAUCGGUGGCGAAGGCGACCACCUGGCCGGAGAUUGACGCUGAGGCGCGAAAGCGUGGGGAGCAAACAGG